RNAcentral lists this ribosomal RNA (492 nucleotides) under uncultured bacterium. Its description in RNAcentral is "partial 16S ribosomal RNA". It matches the Rfam family "Bacterial small subunit ribosomal RNA", at positions 29 to 507 of the family's 1533-position model. The record is from RNAcentral.
AGUGAACGCUGGCGGUAGGCCUAACACAUGCAAGUCGAACGGCAGCACAGUAAGAGUUUGCUCUUACGGGUGGCGAGUGGCAGACGGGUGAGGAAUACAUCGGAAUCUACUUUUUCGUGGGGGAUAACGUAGGGAAACUUACGCAAAUACCGCAUACGACCUACGGGUGAAAGCAGGGGAUCUUCGGACCUUGCGCGAUUGAAUGAGCCGAUGUCGGAUUAGCUAGUUGGCGGGGUAAAGGCCCACCAAGGCGACGAUCCGUAGCUGGUCUGAGAGGAUGAUCAGCCACACUGGAACUGAGACACGGUCCAGACUCCUACGGGAGGCAGCAGUGGGGAAUAUUGGACAAUGGGCGCAAGCCUGAUCCAGCCAUACCGCGUGGGUGAAGAAGGCCUUCGGGUUGUAAAGCCCUUUUGUUGGGAAAGAAAAGCAGCAGGUUAAUACCCCGCUGUUCUGACGGUACCCAAAGAAUAAGCACCGGCUAACUUCGUG